This is a long non-coding RNA of Rhinopithecus roxellana (golden snub-nosed monkey), 1404 nucleotides long. RefSeq lists it as uncharacterized. The record is from RefSeq and is a predicted model, not a curated record. The transcript is spliced from 4 exons. Lineage: Eukaryota; Metazoa; Chordata; Mammalia; Primates; Cercopithecidae.
GGCUAGGCUGAUCUCGAACUCCUAACCUUAAAUGAUCUGCCCACCUCGGCCUCCCAAAGUGCUGGGAUGACAGGCAUGAGCCCCUGCACCUGGCUGGAGAUGAGACUUCUGUGUGUGGUGCUAAAAGAGUAAGUAAAAACAUCAGACACUACAUUGGACAUGCUACUAAGAGCUUAGUCAUCUCACCUAAGUUCUCAGACCAAAUCCCAUUUUCUUAGGAUUCCUUGGGCCCCCUCACAACCCCGGCCCCGCCCCACUCAUUUUGAAAGUUUGGACAUGACUCCGCCUUUCUGAGUUCCAGGCUACCCUUGUGUAAAUGGAUGGUUGGACUGGAUGAAAGCUCAGGUUCUUCUUGCCUUCUAAUGUUCUAAGAAUCGGACUUAUUUCACAGAGUUCUGUAUAAAUCCACUGACCAAGUUUUCUGAACCAAAAACAACAUGUCUGAUGAAGGAGCAGUCCUUUCACCUUGCCCUUUGAAUGGUUUUAGGUGUUUCUGAAAAACCCAAUCCACCCUCCAAGGUGGAAAGUGUGCCAUCUCUGCCCAUAAUCCAAAUGGUGUGCCUGAGGCAUAGAAAGCAGCUUUCAGGGAGGCCCUCCUUCCUCUGAGCAAUGGUGGCAUCAUCAGAAAAGUGGAGCUCCUCCAAAAGAAUCUGCUGGAAGCAGAGGACGCCCAUGUGCUGCAGCGCCUCUGCUGGGCUUUGCCACUGCCCCGUGUUUGCUAGAGCCUCACCCUGGUGGGGCCCCACCUCUGGGAAGCCCCAGCGCCUGCAAGAUUUUUUCCUCUCGUGACAGGGAGCAGCAUGCAGAGGGCCCUUGCACAACCUGGGUCUUCUGGAAGUUCCAUGCCCAGGUAUUGGCCCAGCUGUCCUCAUGGUUCCAAGAAGGCUGCCCCAGGAAGGCUUGUGGACAGAGGGAGAAGCAUCUCUUCCUCUAAGUCUCUUUUUAUCUAAGAAACCAGUUUGACCAGCAUCCUUCCCUUCGGCUCUCUGGGAGGAAUGCAUGGAUCCCUUCGCCUUCCCCCAUCCCUCCAUGAUUGACUAAACCCACUAGGAUCCACUCUUUCGUGUGGAAAUGGGUUCAGGCCUCCCAUGAACAGCAUGAAGAUGCCCUCUGAUAUGGGUUACAUUAUGUCCCCUGCCCCUGAGACAGUAUGUUGAGUCCUAACCCUAGUAUUGCAGGAUGUGAAUUUAUUAGGACAUAGGGUCUUUAUGGAGGUCAUUAAGUUAAAUGAGGGCAUUAGGGUGGGCUGCUGUCCUGAUAUUAAGGGGAAAUUUGGGGCUGGGUGUAGUGGCUUACACCUAUAAUCCCAGUGCUUUGGGAGACCAAGGCAGGAGGAUUGCUUGAGGGCAGGAGUUCAAGGUACCGGGGAGACCCGGUAUCUAUUAAAAAAAAUCAAAAACAAAA